This is a long non-coding RNA of Salvelinus fontinalis (brook trout), 1457 nucleotides long. RefSeq lists it as uncharacterized. The transcript has 3 exons. The record is from RefSeq and is a predicted model, not a curated record. NCBI's taxonomy places the organism in Eukaryota, Metazoa, Chordata, Actinopteri, Salmoniformes, Salmonidae.
UGUGUACCUGUGGCUCAGGGGGGAACAGAGCUCUGGACACUCUGUAGAGGUGUGUGUGUGUACCUGUGGCUCAGGGGGGAACAGAGCUCUGGACACUGUAGAGGUGUGUGUGUGUACCUGUGGCUCAGGGGGGAACAGAGCUCUGGACACUCUGUAGAGGUGUGUGUGUGUACCUGUGGCUCAGGGGGGAACAGAGCUCUGGACACUGUAGAGGUGUGUGUGUGUACCUGUGGCUCAGGGGGGAACAGAGCUCUGGACACUGUAGAGGUGUGUGUGUGUACCUGUGGCUCAGGGGGGAACAGAGCUCUGGACACUGUAGAGGUGUGUGUGUGUACCUGUGGCUCAGGGGGGAACAGAGCUCUGGACACUCUGUAGAGGUGUGUGUGUGUACCUGUGGCUCAGGGGGGAACAGAGCUCUGGACACUCUGUAGAGGUGUGUGUGUGUACCUGUGGCUCAGGGGGGAACAGAGCUCUGGACACUGUAGAGGUGUGUGUGUGUACCUGUGGCUCAGGGGGGAACAGAGCUCUGGACACUCUGUAGAGGUGUGUGUGUGUACCUGUGGCUCAGGGGGGAACAGAGCUCUGGACACUGUAGAGGUGUGUGUGUGUACCUGUGGCUCAGGGGGGAACAGAGCUCUGGACACUCUGUAGAGGUGUGUGUGUGUACCUGUGGCUCAGGGGGGAACAGAGCUCUGGACACUGUAGAGGUGUGUGUGUGUACCUGUGGCUCAGGGGGGAACAGAGCUCUGGACACUCUGUAGAGGUGUGUGUGUACCUGUGGCUCAGGGGGGAACAGAGCUCUGGACACUCUGUAGAGGUGUGUGUGUACCUGUGGCUCAGGGGGGAACAGAGCUCUGGACACUCUGUAGAGGUGUGUGUGUGUACCUGUGGCUCAGGGGGGAACAGAGCUCUGGACACUGUAGAGGUGUGUGUGUGUACCUGUGGCUCAGGGGGGAACAGAGCUCUGGACACUCUGUAGAGGUGUGUGUGUACCUGUGGCUCAGGGGGGAACAGAGCUCUGGACACUCUGUAGAGGUGUGUGUGUACCUGUGGCUCAGGGGGGAACAGAGCUCUGGACACUCUGUAGAGGUGUGUGUGUGUACCUGUGGCUCAGGGGGGAACAGAGCUCUGGACACUGUAGAGGUGUGUGUGUGUACCUGUGGCUCAGGGGGGAACAGAGCUCUGGACACUCUGUAGAGGUGUGUGUGUACCUGUGGCUCAGGGGGGAACAGAGCUCUGGACACUCUGUAGAGGUGUGUGUGUGUACCUGUGGCUCAGGGGGGAACAGAGCUCUGGACACUCUGUAGAGGUGUGUGUGUACCUGUGGCUCAGGGGGGAACAGAGCUCUGGACACUCUGUAGAGGUGUGUGUGUGUACCUGUGGCUCAGGGGGGAACAGAGCUCUGGACACUCUGUAGAGGUGUGUGUGUGUACCUGUGGCUCAGGGGGGAACAGAGC